GAUCAUGACUCAGGAUGAACGCUAGCUACAGGCUUAACACAUGCAAGUCGAGGGGCAGCAUGGUCUUAGCUUGCUAAGGCUGAUGGCGACCGGCGCACGGGUGAGUAACACGUAUCCAACCUGCCGUCUACUCUUGGCCAGCCUUCUGAAAGGAAGAUUAAUCCAGGAUGGCAUCAUGAGUUCACAUGUCCGCAUGAUUAAAGGUAUUUUCCGGUAGACGAG
RNAcentral lists this ribosomal RNA (222 nucleotides) under uncultured bacterium. Its description in RNAcentral is "partial 16S ribosomal RNA". It matches the Rfam family "Bacterial small subunit ribosomal RNA", at positions 15 to 226 of the family's 1533-position model. The record is from RNAcentral.